Mus caroli (Ryukyu mouse) is the source of this 1326-nucleotide long non-coding RNA. RefSeq lists it as uncharacterized. The record is from RefSeq and is a predicted model, not a curated record. NCBI's taxonomy places the organism in Eukaryota, Metazoa, Chordata, Mammalia, Rodentia, Muridae.
UUCCACCUUUUCUCCCCACCACCUCUACACUCCCCACUAGUUGCAAAUGAUUUGGGGAGGCAGGUUUGCUGAAGGUGGGAUUCCAGGAUACAGCUUCCGUGAGGUCCUCGUCCAUGAUUUGCUGGGACUUUGUGAAGAUGCAGCUGUUUUGGCAUUACCCACACUCCUGUAUGUAAUCCCUCACCCACGCUCUAAGUAAGCCCACCAAAUGCAUUGGUUUUAAGAUAAACUCCGGUGGAGUCCUUGCCUUGGUUUGUCUGCCCCUCUUGGGUGAACAGCUUGUUCAUAUCACCCCAGAAGUUACCACAGCACUGGGGGCUCCUCAAGUUUGCAUCUCCCCCUGCGGGGUCACACAUCAGUUAGCCAUCUAUCAGGAAAUGUCAAGUUAGCCUUGUUCCCUUAAAGCCUCUUACCUGUGCCUGAGGCCAAGAAGAUUAACUCCAGGAAUGGGGCAGAAACAUAACAGACGCGCAUUGUGAAAAGGCUCACAUUCCAGCUGUCCUAGGAAGUAAGAAGUCCCGACGAUCCCACCCCCGGGCUAACAGCUAUUAAUAACAUGCUCUACUAUCUUUGUCAGGACCUAUAGACUAAGCUUAGUCUUUUGACAGAGGAAAACACCCACUAUUUUACCAGUGUAUGCCUUCGUGAAAGCAAGGUCCAGAUUUCCAACAAGAGUUGAUCCUGCCUGGAGCCAAAUAAGCCCACCCACCCCUCAGCUGUGUUGGAAAUGGGAAGCCAUCUACUUGCUAGAACACACUUGCAGAAGGCAACGAGGCAUCUAGUACUCCAGGGCUUUGGACUGUCCACAAAGAACCAAAGGAACAAGCCAACCCAUGCUGGAACUGACGGCAAAUAGAAUUCAGCUUCUCAGUUGAGCCUCCAGAAUCAACAUCAGUCCGGGAAGCGCCUGAAAUCUGGCCUACUAACGCCUCCAAGCCAGAGACCUUGAACAGGAUCUGUUCUGUUCUUGCCUAUAUUUAUGGGGGUUACUGAAGGUAGCUACAGGGGAUAUAAAUGGUUUGUGGCAGUGUUGUUCUAUUACUAUUCUAUUAUGCAAACACCUCCCCUUUCCUUCUUGUGUUUUUCUUCCAUGAAAAAAAUUUUAGAUCCUACUGUAAUCCUUGGUUUGAGAAUCUCCCUUCUCCAGCUGAGAAGUUUAACAGUACAAACUAUUUAGAAUUAUACCCGCUCAUGUUUUAUAUGUGCCAUUAACACAGGUUCCAACAAGCAGAUUGCUAGAAGGUUCAAAUACUCUAUCAAUGCAAUACUCUGGAAGGAAUAAAGCAGGUUUGGAGGCCAAAAGGGGAAUACCUGAAGUUUCUUAAA